Molecule: ribosomal RNA, 253 nt
Filed under: uncultured bacterium
Lineage: Bacteria
Description: partial 16S ribosomal RNA
Rfam family: Bacterial small subunit ribosomal RNA
Source: RNAcentral
UACGGAGGGUGCAAGCGUUAUCCGGAUUCACUGGGUUUAAAGGGUUCGUAGGUGGCCAACUAAGUCAGACGUGAAAUCCCUCAGCUUAACUGGGGAACUGCGUCUGAUACUGGAUGGCUUGAGUGUAGGAGAGGAAUGCGGAAUUCCAGGUGUAGCGGUGAAAUGCGUAGAUAUCUGGAGGAACACCGGUGGCGAAGGCGGCAUUCUGGACUACAACUGACACUGAGGAACGAAAGCCAGGGGAGCAAACGGG